RNAcentral lists this ribosomal RNA (468 nucleotides) under uncultured bacterium. RNAcentral's name for it is "partial 16S ribosomal RNA". It matches the Rfam family "Bacterial small subunit ribosomal RNA", at positions 28 to 507 of the family's 1533-position model. The record is from RNAcentral.
GACGAACGCUGGCGGCGUGCUUAACACAUGCAAGUCGAACGGAAAGGCCCGGCUUUUGUGGGGUGCUCGAGUGGCGAACGGGUGAGUAACACGUGAGUAACCUGCCCUUGACUUUGGGAUAACUUCAGGAAACUGGGGCUCAUACCGGAUAGGAGCUCUUGCUGCAUGGUGGGGGUUGGUAAGUUUCGGUGGUUGGGGAUGGACUCGCGGCGUAUCAGCUUGUUGGGGGGGUAGUGGCUUACCAAGGCUUUGACGGGUAGCCUGCCUGCGAGGGGGACCGGCCACAUUGGGACUGAGAUGCGGCCCAGACUCGUACGGGAGGCAACAGUGGAGAAUAUUACACAGUAGGCGGAAGCCUGAUGCAGCAACGCCGCGUGCGGGAUGACGGCCUUCGGGUUGUAAACCGCUUUCGCCUGUGACGAAGCGUGAGUGACGGUAAUGGGUAAAGAAGCACCGGCUAACUACGUG